Molecule: long non-coding RNA, 2390 nt
Organism: Amazona collaria (yellow-billed parrot)
Lineage: Eukaryota; Metazoa; Chordata; Aves; Psittaciformes; Psittacidae
Source: Ensembl
AAAAAAAAAAAAAAAAAAACAUUUAAAAUAUAACGCAAUUUUAAAGUAAUUUGUACUGUAUGCUACUACUUAAAAGGUGUUCUUAAAACCAGUACUUCUUUCUGCUUAGGUCUUUUCAGUUAUAAGUCUGCACAAGCGGGUAAACUUUUGGACUGGAAGUAUGUAGAAGUACCUUCUUGCUCUUUGUCCCCUCCACUUUUACUCCACCCACCCCGACAGUUUUAUCUCUGACCUGGAAUACAUGCCAUCAGGUUCAACAGAGAAAUGGACUCAACAUUCAGCACUCAUGUCCAACACCUAUGUGGAAAAUCUAGAGGUGAAUGAGAUCAUAGGAAGAGAUAUGUCACAGAUCUCAGUGUUACAUGGACCAACAGCAGCCAGCCAGUCUGCACAUACAUGUCCUGGAUCUCUGGAGACAAGAAUAUCUGAUGGAAUCCAGUAACAGAUAAGCUUACAACUAAAUGUUUCUUCAUCCUCUUCCUCUUUAGACUUACUGUGCUUCCAACUCUGUGGCCUUUAUGAAAUGGAACAGUGGAUCCCUGCAAAGCCCUUUCAGUGGGUUACAUUUUUGAUGUAGAGACAGCAUUUUAGUUAUAGUUCCUCAAAUACUGUAAAGAGACUUCUUAAAAUGGGCACAGAAUCUACACCAGAUAUUUUAACUGUUUUAAAGUUACAAACAAGCUUUGCUUUCUGCAUUUAAAUAGAAUACUUUUGUAUUGUGCUUCAGAUGUGUGGCGAUGUUAGUUUGCUCUUAUAAUAUUCACAGUACUGAAUGUGGAAAGAGAUUUAAUGCACAUCUUCAGUGUGCUCCUUUCCCUUAGAGGUAGUAUAGUUUGUAACUGAUGAUUUGUAACACCUUUUGGUCAUUUUGGAAAGCCUUUAAAGCUUCUAUUUUUUUUUUUUUAAUACAGUCUUCCAGUGGCAAAUCAUACCUGCCAUCUGAAGCCAAUGCCACGGAAGCCAUUGUGUAUAUAAAUGCUGUAGUGUUUUCUUUCUUAGAUUCAUAGGAAGCAAAGUCAAAUGUAGAUUUGCUCUUGUUUAUAAACUGAAAAUGUUACUUGAUAGGCUGCAAAAAGACCAUUCCAUCAUGAAAGUGCUGGGAAAGGACAUUCCAAAAUUUAACUUAUAUAACUUUGUGGAUAAUCUUCCUGUUCUUUAUUAGCACUGUCUUCUUCUUGAAAUAGCUUUUUAGAAAGUUACAUUUGUAAUCAAAUUUGAGCAGUAGGAUUUUAGAUUAAAGAACAGCAACAUCAAAGCCAUGAUAUUUACAGGAGAAAUUUCAAUAUUUGCUGAGGAUAUAGGUGUUCCUGUUAUCCCUGCAGAACAGUUUUGAAAUCACAGAUUCAGUGGCAUUCAAGUUUUCCAUGCAAUAAAUUGUUUGAUCACAUGUAUCUUUUAUAUACUGUAUGCCUGACCAUGCCACUUGGAAGUCCUGAGGAGAUGACAAUUACAGUUCCUUAAAUUUAAGAUGCUUAUAAACAUCAGUUUGCUAAAAAGUAAUUUACUGUGAAUUAGGGAUUAGGUAGUGUAAUUUUCCCUUGUUUAAUUGUGAAUGUGGGAAGCAGAAACUACCAAAGAAACACACGAGAUUCAUAGCAGCAGUAAACUUUGUGCUGUGCUCAAAGGAUGCAUUUCUCUUGCCUGCAUAAUCUGAUACAUUCGAGACAAUCUGUUUACAUAGUUAUUAAAAAUCUCAGGCCUCUAUGAUUAGAAACCUAGGAGAGGAUCUGAAACACAGGCCACAAAUGCUUCCCUCCACCAGAAGACACUGUUGUUUACAAAGCUUUCUGACAUGGAACACGCAGGGUACAGCAAUCAUGGCAAAGUAAGAUCAGAAAUACAUGGAACCUCAAAACACUGAGGGUGUUAGUUCUAGUUCCCCAUUUGGGUGAGCCAUGAUGCUCUAAUGAAAAUUAAGAGCAAAUACACUCUAAAAUUUCCAAAUAUAGAAAGUGUAUUUGCAUUGAAACUAGUUAAGACAAUUGUGGACAUUUUAGCUGUUUAACACAUGUGGAGCACAUGUGUCUUUCUGUAGAAAAUUUAGCAGAGAUUCUUAAAGUGACAGUAAAAUGGUCUUAAAGUGGAUACCACAACUGCAUUCUAAUACUUGUGAGAGCAAACACAGAUUCUACUGCUGUUGCAUUUUGGCAGAUGGUCACAGGGAAAAAUUUCCAUUGAGCCUUUUGCAGGCACAACGUUACACCUACAUUUAAGUCAUCACCCAAGCAAUACCAUUAAAGUAGUUGUAACUGCAUCUUUGUAAUAAUCUGAAUCAUGAACUUUUUAGAAGACCAUACAUUAAGCGGGUGAAGUUAUAACUCUUUAUCAUGUACUUCCUUUUAAGAGUGCAGCCUAAGGCUCCUAUCUUGAUGUUUCAUAGUUAUAUGAAA